Molecule: unclassified non-coding RNA, 316 nt
Filed under: fungal sp.
Lineage: Eukaryota; Fungi
Description: partial internal transcribed spacer region
Rfam family: Eukaryotic small subunit ribosomal RNA (bases 1-46)
Source: RNAcentral
AAGUCGUAACAAGGUUUCCGUAGGUGAACCUGCGGAAGGAUCAUUAACACUCUUUUUCAAUGAAAGAGCUCAUUUUUUGAUAUCUUUGUUUUUUCUUUUGAGAAACUUGGAUUCAAAUUAUGGGUAUUCACCCCCUUAUAUUGACGAACGAAGAAAAAAAUUGAUUUUGUUUCAAAAGCAAAACUCAUAUUUUUCUAUCUUUUUUCUCUAUACCUUAUAUUUUUCAAAACCCCUUUUUUUACAAUAUGUCUUAGACUGAACUGAAAAAUUAAGAUAAACUAAAAAACAACUCUUAACAACGGAUAUCUUGGUUCUC